Molecule: ribosomal RNA, 465 nt
Filed under: uncultured bacterium
Lineage: Bacteria
Description: partial 16S ribosomal RNA
Rfam family: Bacterial small subunit ribosomal RNA
Source: RNAcentral
AGUCCAGACUCCUACGGGAGGCAGCAGUGGGGAAUAUUGCACAAUGGGGGAAACCCUGAUGCAGCGACGCCGCGUGAGUGAAGAAGUAUUUCGGUAUGUAAAGCUCUAUCAGCAGGGAAGAAAUAGCGACCUUUGGGUCGCCAGACGGUACCUGAUUAAGAAGCCCCGGCUAACUACGUGCCAGCAGCCGCGGUAAUACGUAGGGAGCAAGCGUUAUCCGGAUUUACUGGGUGUAAAGGGAGCGUAGACGGCAGCGCAAGUCUGAAGUGAAAUGCCGGGGCUUAACCCCGGAACUGCUUUGGAAACUGUGCAGCUAGAGUGCAGGAGAGGCAAUCGGAAUUCCGUGUGUAGCGGUGAAAUGCGUAGAUAUACGGAGGAACACCAGUGGCGAAGGCGGCUUUCUGGACUGAAACUGACGCUGAGGCUCGAAAGCGUGGGGAGCAAACAGGAUUAGAUACCCGAGUA